UAAGGAAUAUUGGACAAUGGCCGCAAGGCUGAUCCAGCCAUCCAGCGUGCAGGAAGAAGGCCCUAUGGGUUGUAAACUGCUUUUGUCAGGGAAUAAACCUGUGGAUUUACUCCGCAGCUGAAGGUACCUGAAGAAUAAGCACCGGCUAACUCCGUGCCAGCAGCCGCGGUAAUACGGAGGGUGCGAGCGUUAUCCGGAAUUACUGGGUUUAAAGGGUGCGUAGGCGGCGUAUUAAGUCAGGAGUGAAAGUUUGCGGCUCAACCGUAAAAUUGCUUUUGAUACUGGUAUGCUAGAAUUAGGAUGAGGUCAGCGGAAUGUGGCAUGUAGCGGUGAAAUGCAUAGAUAUGCCAUAGAACACCAAUUGCGAAGGCAGCUGGCUAGACCUGGAUUGACGCUGAGGCACGAAAGCGUGGGGAGCGAACAGG
This 425-nucleotide ribosomal RNA is filed under the name uncultured bacterium. RNAcentral describes it as "bacterial SSU rRNA". It matches the Rfam family "Bacterial small subunit ribosomal RNA", at positions 355 to 776 of the family's 1533-position model. The record is from RNAcentral.